Molecule: ribosomal RNA, 468 nt
Filed under: uncultured bacterium
Lineage: Bacteria
Description: partial 16S ribosomal RNA
Rfam family: Bacterial small subunit ribosomal RNA
Source: RNAcentral
GACGAACGCUGGCGGCGUGCUUAACACAUGCAAGUCGAACGGAAAGGCCCUGCUUUUGUGGGGUGCUCGAGUGGCGAACGGGUGAGUAACACGUGAGUAACCUGCCCUUGACUUUGGGAUAACUUCAGGAAACUGGGGCUAAUACCGGAUAGGAGCUCCUGCUGCAUGGGGGGGGUUGGAAAGUUUCGGCGGUUGGGGAUGGACUCGCGGCUUAUCAGCUUGUUGGUGGGGUAGUGGCUUACCAAGGCUUUGACGGGUAGCCGGCCUGAGAGGGUGACCGGCCACAUUGGGACUGAGAUACGGCCCAGACUCCUACGGGAGGCAGCAGUGGGGAAUAUUGCACAGUGGGCGGAAGCCUGAUGCAGCAACGCCGCGUGCGGGAUGACGGCCUUCGGGUUGUAAACCGCUUUCGCCUGUGACGAAGCGUGAGUGACGGUAAUGGGUAAAGAAGCACCGGCUAACUACGUG